AACGAACGCUGGCGGCAGGCUUAACACAUGCAAGUCGAGCGCCCCGCAAGGGGAGCGGCAGACGGGUGAGUAACGCGUGGGAACGUACCUUUUGGUUCGGAACAACUCCGGGAAACUGGAGCUAAUACCGGAUAAGCCCUAACGGGGAAAGAUUUAUCGCCGAAAGAUCGGCCCGCGUCUGAUUAGCUAGUUGGUGAGGUAACGGCUCACCAAGGCGACGAUCAGUAGCUGGUCUGAGAGGAUGAUCAGCCACACUGGGACUGAGACACGGCCCAGACUCCUACGGGAGGCAGCAGUGGGGAAUAUUGGACAAUGGGCGCAAGCCUGAUCCAGCCAUGCCGCGUGAGUGAUGAAGGCCUUAGGGUUGUAAAGCUCUUUUGUCCGGGAAGAUAAUGACGGUACCGGAAGAAUAAGCCCCGGCUAACUUCGUG
RNAcentral lists this ribosomal RNA (431 nucleotides) under uncultured bacterium. RNAcentral describes it as "partial 16S ribosomal RNA". It matches the Rfam family "Bacterial small subunit ribosomal RNA", at positions 29 to 507 of the family's 1533-position model. The record is from RNAcentral.